GUCGCGGAAGUCGGGCUCCAUCAGCUCUUCCCUGGCCCCUGGGUGGAGCCAGCCCCAUUCCCUCCAGGUGCUCAAUAAGCAUAUGCUUGGUGGCCUGUUGACAUCUGGGAGGAACCAGAAGCCCCGGGGGGACUCGGGGACUUAGCGCCUUCCUUCCGCGCCCCUGACUGGUUUUCCCAGAGUAGGAGCCCUGGAACUGGACAGUGCUUCCUGGCACAUAGUAGGCUCUCCGGUUUUGAUGGGACUGCCAUGUGACCCCCCAAGGGACAAAACAGAAUGACCUGAUAACACACCGGAGGCCCUUCACCCAGACUUCACCUCCGAGAAAUGCCCAGAAGCUUCUGGGGGAGGCGCUGGCCAGCCUGGACGUCCCGGGGGCUCGGUGGGCGGCCCAGCCCUGCCUCCUGCCAUCAGUGUAAUGCAUUCAUGUCUACAGGGUGGCAAGCAUCAUAUCCUCCCUCCGUCUUUCCUGCAUUAUUGAUGGACUGCACUUUUUAAAAAAUCAAUUAGAUCAGGGCGUGGAACUGGAGUUAAAAAGAAGCCUUUAAAAGUCUGCUCCUGUUUUUGCUGUUUUGAAUAGGAACAGAUAAAGCUUUCCCUCUGGUUUGAAUAAGUCAAGCCCAGGGCUAGGUUGGCUGUGAUUGGCCAGGACUAGGAAAAUGCGGUUAAGAUGCAAACCCAAGCAAAUAUAACCCAGUGUCUGCACAGCCAUUACUAAGAGAAGGCAGCAGGGCCUGGAGCCUCCCACACUGGGUGGUUCCUCAACACUGCUUACCCGCUGCCAGAAAACUGGGAAGACUGGUGAGAGAAGGCAAGUCCCGGGAAGCCAAGCGCCAUGUCUCUGAGCAGCGCCUUCCGGGCUGUGGGCAACGACCCUGGGGUCAUCACCUGGAGAAUAGAGAAAAUGGAGCUGGCGCUGGUGCCUUUGUGUGCCCAUGGCAACUUCUAUGAAGGAGACUGCUAUGUCAUCCUCUCGACGCGGAGAGUGGGCAGCCUCCUCUCCCAGGACAUCCACUUCUGGAUCGGGAAGGACUCCUCCCAGGACGAGCAGAGCUGUGCGGCCAUCUACGCCACGCAGCUGGACGACUACCUGGGGGGCAGCCCCGUCCAGCACCGGGAGGUCCAGUACCACGAGUCGGACACCUUCCGCGGCUACUUCAAGCAGGGCAUCAUCUACAAGAAGGGCGGUGUGGCCUCUGGGAUGAGGCACGUGGAGACCAACACCUACAACGUGAAGCGGCUGCUGCACGUGAAGGGGAAGAGAAGCAUCCGGGCCGCCGAGGUGGAAAUGAGCUGGGACAGUUUUAACCGAGGAGACGUCUUCCUGCUGGAUCUUGGGAAGGUCAUCGUCCAGUGGAACGGCCCGGAGAGCAGCAGCGGGGAGCGCCUGAAGGCGAUGCUUCUGGCAAAGGAUAUUCGGGACAGGGAGCGAGGGGGUCGUGCUGAGAUAGGAGUGAUCGAGGGAGACAAGGAGGCGGCCAGCCCGGAGCUGAUGAAGGUCCUUCAGGACACCCUCGGCCGGCGCUCCAUCAUCCAACCUGCAGUCCCAGAUGAGGUCAUAGAUCAGAAGCAGAAAUCAAACAUCACGCUGUAUCAUGUCUCAGACUCAUCUGGGCAGCUGGCGGUCACGGAGGUAGCGACGAGGCCUCUGGUCCAGGACUUACUGAACCCUGAUGACUGCUACAUCCUGGACCAAAGUGGAACCAAGAUCUACGUGUGGAAAGGAAGAGGAGCCACAAAGGCUGAGAAACAGAUGGCCAUGUCUAGAGCCCUGGACUUCAUCAGGAUGAAGGGCUACCCCAGCAGCACCAACGUGGAGACCGUCAAUGACGGGGCAGAGUCGGCCAUGUUCAAGCAGCUGUUCCAGAAGUGGACAGUGAAGGAACAGACCGUGGGUCUGGGGAAGACGUUCAGCGUGGGUAAAGUCGCGAAGGUUUUCCAGGAUAAGUUUGAUGUAACUCUGCUGCAUACCAAACCAGAGGUGGCAGCCCGGGAAAGAAUGGUAGACGACGGCAAUGGCAAAGUCGAGGUCUGGAGGAUAGAAAACCUGGAGCUGGUCCCCGUGGAGCACCGGUGGUACGGCUUCUUUUACGGGGGAGACUGCUACCUGGUUCUCUACACGUACGAGAUGCAUGGGAAGCCUCAUUACAUCUUGUAUAUCUGGCAGGUAGGCCUGGAGCAGGCUCUUAACUUUGGAUCCUGGUGCUUCCUCUGGCCACGGAGCUGGGACCGGGGGUGGCAGGGACCCACAGCGCCCGUCUCACCCCUGCAGGGCCGCCACGCCUCACAGGAUGAGCUGGCAGCCUCGGCAUAUCAGGCGGCAGAGGUGGACCAGCAGUUUGAAGGGGCCCCCGUGCAGGUUCGGGUCACCAUGGGGAAGGAGCCGCGCCACUUCAUGGCCAUCUUCAAAGGAAAGCUGGUCAUCUUUGAGGGUGGGACUUCGAGGAAGGGAAAUACUGAGCCAGAUCCUCCAGUAAGACUCUUCCAGAUUCAAGGACAUGACAAAUCUAACACCAAGGCAGUGGAGGUCCCAGCCUUCACCUCCUCCCUAAACUCCAAUGAUGUCUUUCUGCUGCGGACCCAGGCAGAGCACUACCUGUGGUUCGGCAAGGGGUCUAGUGGGGAUGAGCGGGCCAUGGCCAAGGAGCUGGCCGGACUUCUCUGUGAGGGCGUGGAGAAUACAGUGGCCGAGGGCCAGGAGCCGGCUGAGUUCUGGGACCUGCUGGGAGGGAAAACUCCCUACGCCAGUGACAAAAGACUGCAGGAGAUCCUAGAGGUCCAGUCUCGCCUCUUUGAAUGCUCCAAUAAGACCGGCCGGUUCACUGUCACUGAGAUCACAGACUUCACCCAGGACGACCUGAGCCCCGGUGACGUGAUGCUCCUGGAUACCUGGGACCAGGUGUUCCUGUGGGUCGGGGCCGAGGCCAACGCCGCGGAGAAGCGGGGUGCUCUGACUGCCGCCCAGGAGUACCUGCACACUCACCCCGGCGGCCGGGACACCAGCACACCGAUCCUGAUCGUUAAGCAGGGGUUCGAGCCUCCCAUCUUCACAGGCUGGUUCCUGGCCUGGGACCCUCACAUGUGGAGCGCAGGGAAAUCAUAUGAGCAGGUAAAAGAGGAGCUGGGAGACGCUGCUGCUGUCACAAGAGUCACUGCUGUGAGUUUCCCGGAGGAGCCGUUCACAGGCAACCAGAGCCAGAGAAACAGCAGAUGCUAUAGACACAGCGUGGCUGAAACCCCAUCACGUCCUUCUCAGUGUCACUCCGGAUAUGAGGGACACAACCCUUCCCCUGAAUUCUGAGCCAAAGUAUUACCCCCUAGAAGUUCUGCUGAAAAAUCAGAGUCAGGAGUUGCCAGAGGACGUGAACCCUGCCAAAAAGGAGAAUUACCUCUCUGAACGGGACUUUGUUUCCGUGUUUGGCAUCACCAGAGGGCAGUUUGCUGCUCUGCCUGGCUGGAAACAGCUCCAGAUGAAGAAAGAAAAGGGGCUUUUCUGAGGCAAGAAGGCAUCUGCCUAUUGCAAGAUCCCAGAAGAGAGCAGACAGUGCCAUAUAUCAGCAAAGAAUUUCCCUAAUUUCUGCCUAAUGUCCAGCUACUUAAUGGAGAGAGCAGAGCCUGCCAAUCACAGCAUGUAGUCCAUUUUUCUCAUCCCUGCAUCUCUUAGUUGUCAUAUACCUAAAAUGUUAGCUGCUCACUUUGAAAUGUUUAUGGUCUUCUGGCUGCAGCCUUAGCAGAAAAUGCUAAAACUGCAUGAAAAUCUGGAGAAGUCAAAAGUAAGAGAACAGAAAAAUCGUUUAAAGUGCUUAAUUCUGGGGCAAGGGCCGUUUGUUUUACAUUUUAAGGUGGGUAUUUUCUAUUUAACCCAGAAAUCAUCAAAGUUAUUCACAUAUAUACAAAAUAAAAAAUGCUCAAAUCUCUAUGUGCCAGAAGUUUUUAAAUUUUCAAAUAAAGGUACCAAUAAGGACACAUGGGCGUUCUCUCAGACUCCUGGGUCUGCCCGUUGUGGUGACUACUGUGCUCUGUGGGAGGCGUCUCAGGACCGGGGCCGUCAGGAUGCACUUCUGGGCUUCCCUACACGGUGGCUCAGUGGUAGAGUCCACCUGCUGAUGCAGGAGACAUGAGUUCGAUCCCUGCUCUGGGAAGAUUCCACGUGCCACGGAGCAACGAAGCCCAUGAGCCCCAGCUACUGAGUCUGCGCUCUAGAGCGCAGAAGCCCCGACUACUGAAGCCUGCAAACUCCAGAGUCCAUGCUCCGCAACAAGAGAAGCCACUGCAGUGAGAAGCCCGGGCACCGCAGCUGGAGCAAAGCCCCACAGAGCAACAGAGACCCAGCACAGCCAUAAACAAACAAAACUAUCAACAUCCUUUUAAAAAAGAGGCACUGCUGAGGGAGCUCUCUGGA
Molecule: RNA transcript, 4402 nt
Organism: Cervus elaphus (red deer)
Lineage: Eukaryota; Metazoa; Chordata; Mammalia; Artiodactyla; Cervidae
Gene: AVIL
Gene name: advillin
Exons: 19
Source: RefSeq, a predicted model, not a curated record